RNAcentral lists this ribosomal RNA (253 nucleotides) under uncultured bacterium. RNAcentral describes it as "partial 16S ribosomal RNA". It matches the Rfam family "Bacterial small subunit ribosomal RNA", at positions 524 to 776 of the family's 1533-position model. The record is from RNAcentral. RNAcentral also lists the same sequence under 1 other name.
UACAGAGGGUGCAAGCGUUGUUCGGAAUUAUUGGGCGUAAAGGGAGUGUAGGCGGUUCGUUAAGUCUUCUGUGAAAUCUACGGGCUUAGCCUGUAACGUGCAGAGGAAACUAGCGGGCUUGAGUGUCGGAGAGGAUAGGGGAAUACCCAGUGUAGAGGUGAAAUUCGUAGAGAUUGGGUGGAACACCAGUGGCGAAGGCGCCUAUCUGGCUGACAACUGACGCUGAGACUCGAAAGCAUGGGGAGCAAACAGG